GUCCACGCCGUAAACGAUGGAUACUAGCUGUUGGGCGCAAGUUCAGUGGCUAAGCGAAAGUGAUAAGUAUCCCACCUGGGGAGUACGUUCGCAAGAAUGAAACUCAAAGGAAUUGACGGGGGCCCGCACAAGCGGUGGAGCAUGUGGUUUAAUUCGAUGAUACGCGAGGAACCUUACCAAGGCUUAAAUGUAGAUUGACCGUUUUUGGAAACAGAACUUUCGCAAGACAAUUUACAAGGUGCUGCAUGGUUGUCGU
Molecule: ribosomal RNA, 256 nt
Filed under: uncultured bacterium
Lineage: Bacteria
Description: partial 16S ribosomal RNA
Rfam family: Bacterial small subunit ribosomal RNA
Source: RNAcentral